CUAUUAGCAAGCCAUUAUAAGCUAACAGCAAGUAAAUUAAAUAGAUGUGAAGAGCCACAUUCUCAUUUGUUUGGUACUAGACAGAGCUCUGCAGGGAAAAGGUGUGCAAAGCUUGAAGAAGCCCUGGACUGUAUGCAAAGCUAAGUGGUUCGCCUGCUGAAUGUUUCUGUCUGGGACUGAUACAGCUGUUUGUAGAUCCUAGGUAACUGUCCCAAAUU
Molecule: long non-coding RNA, 218 nt
Filed under: Numida meleagris (helmeted guineafowl)
Lineage: Eukaryota; Metazoa; Chordata; Aves; Galliformes; Numididae
Description: lncRNA (ENSNMEG00000005569.1)
Source: RNAcentral